Molecule: ribosomal RNA, 554 nt
Filed under: Fusarium oxysporum
Lineage: Eukaryota; Fungi; Ascomycota; Sordariomycetes; Hypocreales; Nectriaceae
Description: eukaryotic LSU rRNA
Rfam family: 5.8S ribosomal RNA (bases 202-355)
Source: RNAcentral
GAAGUAAAAGUCGUAACAAGGUCUCCGUUGGUGAACCAGCGGAGGGAUCAUUACCGAGUUUACAACUCCCAAACCCCUGUGAACAUACCACUUGUUGCCUCGGCGGAUCAGCCCGCUCCCGGUAAAACGGGACGGCCCGCCAGAGGACCCCUAAACUCUGUUUCUAUAUGUAACUUCUGAGUAAAACCAUAAAUAAAUCAAAACUUUCAACAACGGAUCUCUUGGUUCUGGCAUCGAUGAAGAACGCAGCAAAAUGCGAUAAGUAAUGUGAAUUGCAGAAUUCAGUGAAUCAUCGAAUCUUUGAACGCACAUUGCGCCCGCCAGUAUUCUGGCGGGCAUGCCUGUUCGAGCGUCAUUUCAACCCUCAAGCACAGCUUGGUGUUGGGACUCGCGUUAAUUCGCGUUCCUCAAAUUGAUUGGCGGUCACGUCGAGCUUCCAUAGCGUAGUAGUAAAACCCUCGUUACUGGUAAUCGUCGCGGCCACGCCGUUAAACCCCAACUUCUGAAUGUUGACCUCGGAUCAGGUAGGAAUACCCGCUGAACUUAAGCAUAUC